AGUAAUACAUCGGAACGUGUCCCGUAGUGGGGGAUAGCCCGGGCGAAAGCCGGAUUAAUACCGCAUAUGCUCUACGGAGGAAAGUGGGGGACUCGCAAGGGCCUCACGCCAUGGGAGCGGCCGAUGUCCGAUUAGCUUGUUGGCGGGGUAAUGGCCCACCAAGGCGACGAUCGGUAGCUGGUCUGAGAGGAUGAUCAGCCACACUGGGACUGAGACACGGCCCAG
RNAcentral lists this ribosomal RNA (225 nucleotides) under uncultured bacterium. RNAcentral describes it as "partial 16S ribosomal RNA". It matches the Rfam family "Bacterial small subunit ribosomal RNA", at positions 109 to 334 of the family's 1533-position model. The record is from RNAcentral.